CUCUGCAUUAUAUACACUCACUACACAAACACACACUCUGCAUUAUAUACACACUGCAUUCAUUAUAUACACACACUACACAAACACACCGCAUUCACAAUAUACACACACUACACAAACACACCCUGCAUUCAUUAUAUACACACUACACAAACACACACUGCAUCCACUACACACACACCUCCCCUGUCUAAACACACUGCACCAACUACAUGUGGCAUGCAUAUUUUGUGCAUUUACCUUUAGAAAUCGUUUAGUUUUUCAAAAUGGUAAAUGUACAGAAUAUCGGCUUGAAAGUUCAGAUUAUCAUAUCUGCUCUAAAAAAAAACAAUAGUGGUCGAUCCCUAAUUUAUAAAACUAUGCAAACACAUUGACACAAGAAUGGUUUGUACUGCAGUACAAUGCCCAGAGGUGUAAACAAGAUGUUCUCAGCACCCCACCCCGAUGGCAUUGUGUAUGGGGCCAGUGAGGCAGAUCUUUGAUGUCCACAAAGAUAGAUCUCCCUUCCUGCCACGACCAAUGGAAGGGCGGAGCUUCCUGUUCCGCCAGCGUUAUCCAGUGUGAACGAUAAUUUGAUCUCCCCUGUUGGCUUAGACCAGGGGUAGGCAACAUUUGGGACUACAUCCCCCAUAAUGCUGGUAAAGCAUAAUUGGAGGUGUAGUCCAAAACAUCUGAAGUGCUGAAGGUUGCCUAUGCCUGGCCUAGGUCCAUGGCAGCCUACCUGGCAGUAGGCUACAGAAGUCUACAUUUUGUGUAUUGUUCCAAACAACUUCUAGCAGCAACUGAAUCUCUCUCUGUGUGUGUGUGUGUGUGUGUGUGUCUAUGUCUGUCUAUCUACAUGUCUUUAAGAUGUAGCUCUUUCUUUAUAAAUCUCCUCCUUCAGCUUUUAGUAAAUCUUUAAUAUGUAAUAGACUUUACUGUAAUUUGUUAUGCGCUGACAAUCAGAUUUUUGAAUCAGUUACUAAUUCUACCUAGUUGUUACAGUGAUUUUGGGUAUUUCGGAUGGGACAGCCAUGUUACUUUAAUAGUUUUGUUAAAUGGUUUGAUGUCUUGCGCCCUCUAGAGGCCGUUCACCACCUAGCAUUUGUGGGUAAUACUGUAUAUGCAUUUUUCGAUGUUUCGGCCAAGAGGCAUGCAAUUUCAAUCAAUCCGUUGUAAAACCUCCAUGUGAAGAGGUAAAUAAUCUCUCAAGACUUUUUAGUGGCAAAAUUCUUGCUUCAACAGG
Molecule: non-coding RNA, 1225 nt
Organism: Pelobates cultripes (western spadefoot toad)
Lineage: Eukaryota; Metazoa; Chordata; Amphibia; Anura; Pelobatidae
Source: the annotation of a GenBank genome assembly